AAAACACCCACAUUUGGGUACUGGGUUUCGAUCAGAGAGCAGGGGAAAGAACAAGCAAACCCUUGUUUGCAAAAUUCCAGCAAUAUACUUGAAAUCUCAAGGAGAAUCUAAUGCAUGAGCCCCUAUUUUCGAGUAUCUAACCCUAAUUAGUGAAGUGGCGUGAAGGAAGAAGGAACCAAUACUAGGAAAUCGGAAGGUUCACAAGAUCGAGGUAAAUCCUCAAUGUAGGCGGUCGGACGAUUUGGAAUGAGCACACUUGAUCUACGCCCACUACACGCUUCCGUCAUAAGUUAAUAUAACGUGGUCUAAACUUUUGGUAUUAUGUACUUUAAAUUGUGUAGUAUUUUGAUGACUUUAUGGUUUGGUUAAAAAAUUAUUAGUGGUAGUCUUGUUGUAAACAACUUAAACGUUCCGUUUUGGAUUUUUGUCAAGGAUGUUUUAUGUUGAAAUGGUUUACCGUAUAAAACAGGU
Long non-coding RNA from Helianthus annuus (common sunflower), 471 nucleotides. RefSeq lists it as uncharacterized. The transcript has 3 exons. The record is from RefSeq and is a predicted model, not a curated record. Lineage: Eukaryota; Viridiplantae; Streptophyta; Magnoliopsida; Asterales; Asteraceae.